AUGCUGCUGGUCCAUCCUAAAGCUCAUCACCUUAAUUUUGUUGGUUACGUUUCAACAGGUCAGCUCCCUGAACCUGCUCAGGCUUGGUCCCGUAAGAACAAGCACCAAGACUACCAAUCUCUGUCACAUGAUGGAUGUGCAAACACUCCUGCGUGUUGCUGUGUGAAGCUCACAGAAAGCACGGUGCAGGAAUGCUGUAAUUCAGAUGCAGCAAGCAACACAUCACAUGGGCCCUUCAGUUACACCUACCAUGUUAAGCUGCACUGUUCCUGCAAAAUCAGAAUUAGAAGUGAGGACUUCUCUUUCAACAUAUCAGUCAUGCAAGGCCAAGCGAGAUGCAGGGAAGGGAGCAGAGCUGGCAGGAGGAGCAGCUAUAUUUACAGAGCCAACGAAAAGCAACAUUGGCCACAAGGGUACCUCAGCUUGGAGGCAACGGUUCAUUUUUCUAAGAACAGCAUGCUGUUUGCUUGAAUCUGUUCAUUAUUCAGCUUUCUCUCAGACAGUUUAUAAGUAG
RNAcentral lists this long non-coding RNA (514 nucleotides) under Anser cygnoides (Swan goose). RNAcentral describes it as "lncRNA (ENSACDG00005009959.1)". The record is from RNAcentral. Lineage: Eukaryota; Metazoa; Chordata; Aves; Anseriformes; Anatidae.